RNAcentral lists this long non-coding RNA (351 nucleotides) under Homo sapiens (human). RNAcentral describes it as "LHRI_LNC191.2". The record is from RNAcentral. Lineage: Eukaryota; Metazoa; Chordata; Mammalia; Primates; Hominidae.
CCCGUGCUCAUCAUCCACGGCACGGAGGACGAGGUGAUCGACUUCUCGCACGGGCUGGCGCUCUACGAGCGCUGCCCCAAGGCGGUGGAGCCGCUGUGGGUGGAGGGCGCCGGGCACAACGACAUCGAGCUCUACAGCCAGUACCUGGAGCGCCUGCGUCGCUUCAUCUCCCAGGAGCUGCCCAGCCAGCGCGCCUAGCGGCGGCCCCAACCGGCCGGACCUCAGCAAUAAGGCGGCCCCCGGACCUCACCCCGCGCCGGCCCCCACCCAGGGGCUGUGGACGAUGUACAGGCAACAGAGCUACGCACUCCUUUCCUUUUGGAAGCAAGAAGAAAAUACGUGAAAACGGAA